CACACUGGGGGUGGCAGGGUAGCCUAGUGGUUAGAGUGUAGAGGAGGUAGGACACACUGGGGGCGGCAGGGUAGCCUAGUGGUUAGAGUGUAGAGGAGGUAGGACACACUGGGGGCGGCAGGGUAGCCUAGUGGUUAGAGUGUAGGGGAGGUAGGACACACUCCCAGGUAAC
Molecule: non-coding RNA, 172 nt
Organism: Oncorhynchus mykiss (rainbow trout)
Lineage: Eukaryota; Metazoa; Chordata; Actinopteri; Salmoniformes; Salmonidae
Source: RefSeq, a predicted model, not a curated record